CUAGGGCCCAUCUCACUUCACUCUCCAAGAUUUCUGGUUCAAUCUCAUUGGAUUAACUAUUGAGGUCAUCACUGCUGUUAAGAUCCUUCCUGUAUAGAUCGUCAGUGUAUUCCUGCCAUCUUUUCUUUAACUGAUCUUCUUCUGUUAGGUCCCUGCCAUUUUUGUCCUUUAUCACACCCACUUUGGCAUGAAAGGUAACUUUAAG
This is a non-coding RNA of Pelobates cultripes (western spadefoot toad), 205 nucleotides long. The record is from the annotation of a GenBank genome assembly. Lineage: Eukaryota; Metazoa; Chordata; Amphibia; Anura; Pelobatidae.